GAUGAACGCUGGCGGCGUGCUUAACACAUGCAAGUCGAACGGUGAAGCCAAGCUUGCUUGGUGGAUCAGUGGCGAACGGGUGAGUAACACGCGAGCAACCUGCCCUGGACUCUGGGAUAAGCGCUGGAAACGGCGUCUAAUACUGGAUAUGAGCCUCUUCCGCAUGGUGGGGGUUGGAAAGAUUUUUUGGUCUGGGAUGGGCUCGCGGCCUAUCAGCUUGUUGGUGAGGUAAUGGCUCACCAAGGCGUCGACGGGUAGCCGGCCUGAGAGGGUGACCGGCCACACUGGGACUGAGACACGGCCCAGACUCCUACGGGAGGCAGCAGUGGGGAAUAUUGCACAAUGGGCGAAAGCCUGAUGCAGCAACGCCGCGUGAGGGAUGACGGCCUUCGGGUUGUAAACCUCUUUUAGCAGGGAAGAAGCGAAAGUGACGGUACCUGCAGAAAAAGCGCCGGCUAACUACGUG
This 466-nucleotide ribosomal RNA is filed under the name uncultured bacterium. Its description in RNAcentral is "partial 16S ribosomal RNA". It matches the Rfam family "Bacterial small subunit ribosomal RNA", at positions 28 to 507 of the family's 1533-position model. The record is from RNAcentral.